Molecule: ribosomal RNA, 3011 nt
Filed under: Salmonella enterica subsp. enterica serovar Typhimurium
Lineage: Bacteria; Pseudomonadati; Pseudomonadota; Gammaproteobacteria; Enterobacterales; Enterobacteriaceae
Also listed under: 1 other name
Description: 23S ribosomal RNA
Rfam family: Bacterial large subunit ribosomal RNA
Source: RNAcentral
GGGUUGUGAGGUUAAGCGACUAAGCGUACACGGUGGAUGCCCUGGCAGUCAGAGGCGAUGAAGGGCGUGCUAAUCUGCGAUAAGCGCCGGUAAGGUGAUAUGAACCGUUAUAACCGGCGAUACCCGAAUGGGGAAACCCAGUGUGAUUCGUCACACUAUCAUUAACUGAAUCCAUAGGUUAAUGAGGCGAACCGGGGGAACUGAAACAUCUAAGUACCCCGAGGAAAAGAAAUCAACCGAGAUUCCCCCAGUAGCGGCGAGCGAACGGGGAGGAGCCCAGAGCCUGAAUCAGCAUGUGUGUUAGUGGAAGCGUCUGGAAAGGCGCGCGAUACAGGGUGACAGCCCCGUACACAAAAGCGCAUGUGCUGUGAGCUCGAUGAGUAGGGCGGGACACGUGGUAUCCUGUCUGAAUAUGGGGGGACCAUCCUCCAAGGCUAAAUACUCCUGACUGACCGAUAGUGAACCAGUACCGUGAGGGAAAGGCGAAAAGAACCCCGGCGAGGGGAGUGAAAAAGAACCUGAAACCGUGUACGUACAAGCAGUGGGAGCACCCUUCGGGGUGUGACUGCGUACCUUUUGUAUAAUGGGUCAGCGACUUAUAUUCUGUAGCAAGGUUAACCGUAUAGGGGAGCCGGAGGGAAACCGAGUCUUAAUUGGGCGUUAAGUUGCAGGGUAUAGACCCGAAACCCGGUGAUCUAGCCAUGGGCAGGUUGAAGGUUGGGUAACACUAACUGGAGGACCGAACCGACUAAUGUUGAAAAAUUAGCGGAUGACCUGUGGCUGGGGGUGAAAGGCCAAUCAAACCGGGAGAUAGCUGGUUCUCCCCGAAAGCUAUUUAGGUAGCGCCUCGUGAAUUCAUCUCCGGGGGUAGAGCACUGUUUCGGCUAGGGGGCCAUCCCGGCUUACCAACCCGAUGCAAACUGCGAAUACCGGAGAAUGUUAUCACGGGAGACACACGGCGGGUGCUAACGUCCGUCGUGAAGAGGGAAACAACCCAGACCGCCAGCUAAGGUCCCAAAGUCAUGGUUAAGUGGGAAACGAUGUGGGAAGGCCCAGACAGCCAGGAUGUUGGCUUAGAAGCAGCCAUCAUUUAAAGAAAGCGUAAUAGCUCACUGGUCGAGUCGGCCUGCGCGGAAGAUGUAACGGGGCUAAACCAUGCACCGAAGCUGCGGCAGCGAACGUAUCACCCAAGACAACUUUACGGAGUUGACGAUUGACGGAGCGAAGCGACGUCAAAGCGUUCAUUAAAGUCGAGUUGGCUUAGGGAUACGUUCGUUGGGUAGGGGAGCGUUCUGUAAGCCUGUGAAGGUGUGUCGUGAGGCAUGCUGGAGGUAUCAGAAGUGCGAAUGCUGACAUAAGUAACGAUAAAGCGGGUGAAAAGCCCGCUCGCCGGAAGACCAAGGGUUCCUGUCCAACGUUAAUCGGGGCAGGGUGAGUCGACCCCUAAGGCGAGGCCGAAAGGCGUAGUCGAUGGGAAACGGGUUAAUAUUCCCGUACUUGGUGUUACUGCGAAGGGGGGACGGAGAAGGCUAUGUUGGCCGGGCGACGGUUGUCCCGGUUUAAGCGUGUAGGUGUGUGUUCCAGGUAAAUCCGGUUCACUUUAACACUGAGGCGUGACGACGAGGCACUACGGUGCUGAAGCAACAAAUGCCCUGCUUCCAGGAAAAGCCUCUAAGCAUCAGGUAACAUCAAAUCGUACCCCAAACCGACACAGGUGGUCAGGUAGAGAAUACCAAGGCGCUUGAGAGAACUCGGGUGAAGGAACUAGGCAAAAUGGUGCCGUAACUUCGGGAGAAGGCACGCUGACACGUAGGUGAAGUGAUUUACUCAUGGAGCUGAAGUCAGUCGAAGAUACCAGCUGGCUGCAACUGUUUAUUAAAAACACAGCACUGUGCAAACACGAAAGUGGACGUAUACGGUGUGACGCCUGCCCGGUGCCGGAAGGUUAAUUGAUGGGGUCAGCGUAAGCGAAGCUCCUGAUCGAAGCCCCGGUAAACGGCGGCCGUAACUAUAACGGUCCUAAGGUAGCGAAAUUCCUUGUCGGGUAAGUUCCGACCUGCACGAAUGGCGUAAUGAUGGCCAGGCUGUCUCCACCCGAGACUCAGUGAAAUUGAACUCGCUGUGAAGAUGCAGUGUACCCGCGGCAAGACGGAAAGACCCCGUGAACCUUUACUAUAGCUUGACACUGAACAUUGAGCCUUGAUGUGUAGGAUAGGUGGGAGGCUUUGAAGUGUGGACGCCAGUCUGCAUGGAGCCGACCUUGAAAUACCACCCUUUAAUGUUUGAUGUUCUAACGUGGACCCGUAAUCCGGGUUGCGGACAGUGUCUGGUGGGUAGUUUGACUGGGGCGGUCUCCUCCUAAAGAGUAACGGAGGAGCACGAAGGUUGGCUAAUCCUGGUCGGACAUCAGGAGGUUAGUGCAAUGGCAUAAGCCAGCUUGACUGCGAGCGUGACGGCGCGAGCAGGUGCGAAAGCAGGUCAUAGUGAUCCGGUGGUUCUGAAUGGAAGGGCCAUCGCUCAACGGAUAAAAGGUACUCCGGGGAUAACAGGCUGAUACCGCCCAAGAGUUCAUAUCGACGGCGGUGUUUGGCACCUCGAUGUCGGCUCAUCACAUCCUGGGGCUGAAGUAGGUCCCAAGGGUAUGGCUGUUCGCCAUUUAAAGUGGUACGCGAGCUGGGUUUAGAACGUCGUGAGACAGUUCGGUCCCUAUCUGCCGUGGGCGCUGGAGAACUGAGGGGGGCUGCUCCUAGUACGAGAGGACCGGAGUGGACGCAUCACUGGUGUUCGGGUUGUCAUGCCAAUGGCACUGCCCGGUAGCUAAAUGCGGAAGAGAUAAGUGCUGAAAGCAUCUAAGCACGAAACUUGCCCCGAGAUGAGUUCUCCCUGAGACUUAGAGUCUCCUGAAGGAACGUUGAAGACGACGACGUUGAUAGGCCGGGUGUGUAAGCGCAGCGAUGCGUUGAGCUAACCGGUACUAAUGAACCGUGAGGCUUAACCUUACAACGCCGAAG